This 492-nucleotide ribosomal RNA is filed under the name uncultured bacterium. RNAcentral's name for it is "bacterial SSU rRNA". It matches the Rfam family "Bacterial small subunit ribosomal RNA", at positions 28 to 503 of the family's 1533-position model. The record is from RNAcentral.
GAUGAACGCUAGCGGCAGGCUUAAUACAUGCAAGUCGAGGGGCAUCAAGGUACACGAAAGUGUAUUGUUGGCGACCGGCGGACGGGUGAGUAAUAGGUAGGUAACCUACCUCAUACUGAGGCAUAGCCGGGAGAAAUUCCAGGUAAUUCCUCAUGAGGUUAUAUGACACAUGUGAUAUAAUCAAAGGUAUCGCAAGGUACUGGUAUGAGAUGGGCUUACUGACCAUUAGCUAGUUGGUGAGAUAAGAGCUCACCAAGGCGAAGAUGGUUAGGGGUUUUGAGAGAGAGAUCCCCCACAUUGGAACUGAGAUACGGUCCAGACUCCUACGGGAGGCAGCAGUAGGGAAUAUUGGGCAAUGGGCGGAAGCCUGACCCAGCCAUGCCGCGUGAAGGAAGACGGCCUUAUGGGUUGUAAACUUCUUUACUAUGCGACUAACUAGAUUUACGAGAUAAUUCUAUAGAAUGUAGCAUAGACAAAAGCACCGGCUAACCG